CUCCCCGUUGCUGACCCCAGGUUCGAUAGUGCCAAUUAGGCGCCACCUCGCCAAGAACCAGCUUCGGUGAAGCGACGGGCGGUGUGUGCAAGGAG
RNAcentral lists this ribosomal RNA (95 nucleotides) under uncultured archaeon. RNAcentral describes it as "partial 16S ribosomal RNA". The record is from RNAcentral.